UACGUAGGGUGCAAGCGUUGUCCGGAAUUAUUGGGCGUAAAGAGCUUGUAGGCGGUUUGUCGCGUCUGCUGUGAAAUUUCGGGGCUCAACCCCGAACUUGCAGUGGGUACGGGCAGACUAGAGUGUGGUAGGGGAGACUGGAAUUCCUGGUGUAGCGGUGAAAUGCGCAGAUAUCGGGAGGAACAUCAGUGGCGAAGGCGGCUGCCUGGCCCAAUACUGACACUCAGGUGCGACAGCGUGGGGAGCAAACAGG
Molecule: ribosomal RNA, 253 nt
Filed under: uncultured bacterium
Lineage: Bacteria
Description: partial 16S ribosomal RNA
Rfam family: Bacterial small subunit ribosomal RNA
Source: RNAcentral